Peromyscus maniculatus bairdii (prairie deer mouse) is the source of this 3206-nucleotide non-coding RNA. The record is from RefSeq and is a predicted model, not a curated record. Lineage: Eukaryota; Metazoa; Chordata; Mammalia; Rodentia; Cricetidae.
GUAGUCGCCCGCGGGGGGCGGGUGUUGGCGGCUUUGGGAGUCCCCCUGCCGGAAGGGCGAGUGACCGAGGGGCAUGUCGGCCCAGGGCGACUGUGAGUUCCUGGUGCAGCGAGCCCGGGAGCUCGUGCCCCAGGACCUGUGGGCAGCCAAGGCGUGGCUGAUCACGGCCCGCAGCCUCUACCCGGCCGACUUCAACAUCCAGUAUGAGAUGUACACCAUCGAACGGAAUGCAGAGAGGACUGCCACUGCGGGGAGGUUGCUGUAUGACAUGUUUGUGAAUUUCCCAGACCAGCCGGUGGUGUGGAGAGAAAUCAGUAUCAUAACAUCAGCACUGAGGAAUGAUUCACAGGAUAAGCAAACCCAAUUUUUAAGGAGCUUAUUUGAAACUCUUCCGGGCCGGGUCCAGUGUGAAAUGUUACUGAAGGUGACGGAACAGUGCUUCAACACGUUGGAACGAUCCGAGAUGCUGCUGUUGCUUCUGAGGCGCUUCCCUGAGACAGUGGUGCAACAUGGGGUUGGCCUUGGGGAGGCACUGCUAGAAGCUGAGACCAUUGAAGAGCAGGAGUCUCCAGUUAACUGCUUUCGAAAGCUAUUUGUUUGUGAUGUCCUUCCUCUAAUAAUUAACAACCAUGAUGUUCGAUUGCCUGCCAAUUUGUUAUAUAAAUACUUGAACAAAGCAGCUGAGUUUUAUAUCAACUAUGUCACUCGGUCCACACAGGUGGAAAACCAGCAUCAAGGUGCACAAGAUACAUCUGAUUUAAUGUCGCCCAGCAAACGUAGCUCUCAGAAGUACAUAAUAGAAGGACUGACUGAGAAAUCAUCCCAGAUUGUAGACCCUUGGGAGAGGUUGUUUAAGAUUCUGAAUGUUGUUGGAAUGAGAUGCGAAUGGCAGAUGGAUAAAGGGAGACGAAGCUGUAGCGACCUACUGCACCGAAUGAAGGAGCUCAGCAGGUACAUGAACACCUUCGACAGCGAAGCUCACGCCAACUAUAAGAACCAGGUGCUCUACUCCACAAUGCUGGUCUUCUUCAAGAGUGCGUUCCAGUACAUCAGCAGCAUACAGCCGUCUCUCUUCCAAGGUCCUAACGCCCCAAGCCAGGUUCCACUAGUUCUUCUGGAAGAUGUAGCCAAUGUGUAUGGUGAUGUAGAAAUUGAUCGCAGUAAACACAUACACAAGAAGAGGAAGCUAGCUGAGGGAAGAGAAAAAACCAUGCAGAGUUCAGAUGAUGAGGAAUGCUCAGCAAAAGGGAGAAGCCGGCACAUUGUUGUCAGUAAAGCUGAGCUCAGCAACUCCAUGGAAGUGCUGGAGAGCUUCAAGCUGGCCAGGGAGAGCUGGGAGCUGCUCUAUUCCCUGGAAUUCCUUGACAAAGAAUUUACAAGAAUUUGUUUGGCUUGGAAGACGGACACAUGGCUGUGGCUAAGAAUCUUCCUCACAGAUAUGAUCAUCUACCAGGGUCAAUAUAAGAAGGCAAUAGCCAGUCUGCAUCACUUAGCAGCUCUCCAAGGAUCCCUUUCUCAGCCGCAGAUCACAGGACAGGGGACUUUAGAACACCAGAGGGCGCUCAUCCAGCUGGCAACCUGUCACUUUGCGCUGGGGGAGUAUAGAAUGACAUGUGAGAAGGUUCUGGACCUGAUGUGCUACAUGGUGCUACCCAUACAAGAUGGAGGGAAAUCGCAGGAAGAGCCCUCCAAAGUGAAGCCCAAGUUUAGGAAAGGUUUGGAUCUGAAGCUUCUGCCCUGUACCAGUAAGGCUAUUAUGCCGUACUGCCUGCACUUGAUGCUAGCAUGCUUUAAGCUGAGAGCUUUUACGGACAACAGAGAUGACAUGGCGCUGGGCCAUGUGAUUGUACUUCUCCAGCAGGAGUGGCCGCGGGGAGAGAACCUUUUCCUGAAAGCCAUCAGUAAGAUUUGCCAGCAAGGAAAUUUCCAGUAUGAGAACUUCUUCAGCUAUGUUACAAACAUUGACAUGCUGGAGGAGUUUGCUUAUUUAAGAACCCAGGAAGGAGGGAAGAUUCACCUGGAAUUACUCCCCAAUCAAGGAAUGCUGAUCAAAUAACCUCUAUCUAAAUGACGCCAAGAGAAUCAAACUGCGUAAGACAGAGAUUUGACUGACUGAGGUGUGAUUAGACUCUUGAAUAAAACUAUCUAUAUUCCUUUUCCCUUUGGGUUCCAAACAAAUUCUCUGAAGCCAUUGCAGACCUUGUGGGUGGUCCCUCCAGAUGAGUGGCAGAGAUGUUGUGAGCAGUGUACCUCUCCUCCCCUUGGGGUAAGGUUGUGAGUCCGUCCUAGUUGUAGCAUCUCGGAUGCAAGCAGGUACAGUACAAACACUGGGCACCUGGUGCCAGGCCUAAAGGAGACAGAAGGUCUCCGUUUGUUCCGUAGAUAUGUUGUUCUGACGUGUGUUCAAUGAGAGAACCGUUUCCAUGCCGACAGCCACAGAACCAUUAGUUGCACUAGACUGGAUCAAAAUGGAAAGAAAUCUCGGGGCUAAUGUACUAAAUCUUCAUUACAGAAUUCUGCAAAACCAUGGCUCCCAGCCUUGUUUUCCUCAAAAUCUCAAACACCCUUUCUUUAUUGAAAACAUUGCCAGCCCUUCUGAGUCCUCUUUGAAGGGCGGCCUCUCAGUCUGGGGCUUCAGUCCUGCUAAGGUGGCUAGCCAGUGUCCCCAGGUGUGUUUCUGGGACCGGCGAGGGCAGGAGAAGAGUGAGGGAAGCAGGCUGGAUUUUGAGUCCUGUCUUCUCGGAUGUUACCCCUCCCCACUACCCUCUCGUCUCCCUCCAUCUUCCUCACUGAUGCCUUUAUACUCCAAAUCACAAGUGGGAAGAGCUCUGGGACCAGGAGCCAAGAUGCCUCUAGACUGGCACCAGCAGCGGGUGCGGUGGGGCCCUCAGCUUCUCCCAGUCCCCCUGAAGACAGCACGGCCAGGGGCUUGUGGAGGUUCAAGUUUCUGUACAGUCCGCUUUCCAGUCCUGUGUAUCCUCUCCGGAGUGUUGUUUUUGCAGUGCAGGGUGAGCUGGUGUGGGUGUUUGAAUGCUGCUGUUUGCUGUCUUUUAAAGGCCUUCUAGCCCUCCCAUGGGGUUACUGCAGCAGGAAUUCUUACCUGUGCUUCAGCCCAGCAUACAGACUGCUGACAGGCACCACACAGUCACUCGUGGCAUCACCAAAGGCGUGAAGGAGGACUUCCGCCUGGCCAUGGAGCGCCAGGU